Molecule: ribosomal RNA, 468 nt
Filed under: uncultured bacterium
Lineage: Bacteria
Description: partial 16S ribosomal RNA
Rfam family: Bacterial small subunit ribosomal RNA
Source: RNAcentral
GACGAACGCUGGCGGCGUGCUUAACACAUGCAAGUCGAACGGCAAGGCCCUGCUUUUUUGCUGUGCUCGAUUGGCGAUCGGGUGCGUAUCACGUGUGUAUCCUGCCCUUCACUUUCGGAUGACUUCACGUAACUGGGGCUACUAUCGGAUAGCAUCCCCUGCUCCGUGGAGGGCGUUGGAACGUCUCGGCCGGUGCGGAUGGAUGAGCCGCUUAUGAGUUUGUUGGUUGGGGAGUUGCUUACCAAGCCUGUGACGGGUACCCGGCAUGAGAGGGUGGCCGGCCACAAGGGGACUGAGAUACGGCCCAGAGUCCUACGGGAGGCAACAGUGGGGAAUAUGGCACAGUGAGCGGAAGCCUGAGGCAGAAACGCCGCGUGCGGGAUGACGGCCUUCGGGUUGAAAACAGCUUUCGCCUGUGACGAAGCGUGAGUGACGGUAAUGAGUAAAGAAGCACCGGCUAACUACGUG